UCCGGGGGGAAACGGGCCCUAUUUGGCUAACAAAUUGGCGACUCCGCCGGGACUUCUCUCCCUGUAGAGGGCACUGACCGACGACCGAGGGCAAUUCCGAGGAGUGGCCACCUCGAGCUGUUGUUUGCUCGGGCCUCGGGUCGUCACAAUCGGUCGGGGCGGCUGUGUCCUCUCUAAAGAGAACUCCUAACGACACGGAGAUAAGACGGUACCAGAAGAAGGGGAAGGUCCAACAGCCGGACGCGGCCACUCCGGGCGGCACACCAAAGAUUCACAGCCUCUUCUGCUGGAUACUCCGGGUCCACUCCCUGCAGCCUAGUGACUCCGUUCUCGUGCGAACCUGGAAGGACGAGCCUCUCCAAGAGAAGUGGAAGGGACUCCACACCAUCCUGCUUGUCACCCAUACAGUGGCAAAGGUCAAAGGACACAAGAACUGGAUUCAUCACUCUCGACUAAAAGCAGUGCCCACUCCUGAACGGUGGACUGUCCAGCCUGCGGAGAAGACUGCUAACGACGAUUUGGGACUUAGGUCGCUAUUCAAAAGACAGUAAGGGUCGCUGGGAAUGCGUUGUGAUCUUUCUGAAUAGUCACGGCAUACUCCCCACGAGAACCCUGAGCAUUGGUUUUAUUUUCAUUGAUAAUCCUGAUUGCAUGGCCCUUAAUCGCAUUUUGUCUUUAGAGUAUGAGAAAACUCUGACAAAGGUUUGUUGAGUGUUCUCAAAGGGGGGAUUGUUGGGAUCCACUAGGCAUAGCUGCCAGGUAACUCGGGAGAGUGGAAAGCCAAGGUGUCGAUGAAACUCUUUUGCUCUGGGCCUAUCUGAAACUCCAGACUCCAUCUUGUGAAUUCUCAUUUACUUCUGUGCUAACUGCUUACAUGUUAAAGCAGAAAUGUAUUGGUCAGCGUUUCUAGCAAAUGGCUGCAGUUUCACUCACACUAGCAGAAAUAAUAGAGAUAAGGAGGAGGGAACAGAGAGAGAUAGUUAGUUUGUAGUUGCUUUCCCAUAUAUCCCCAAGGCAUUUAGUGCAAAGGGUCAAGGGAUGUACCUUGUUCUCCCUUCAAAAUGACAAAUGUAUCCGCAACAGAUGUCUCUUGUAUCCCCUUCCCCAAAAUAAUAUGUAUUCUGUGUAACCUAUUAUCUAUCGGUCAGCAUAAUGACGCAAAAGAAUGAAUGCUAAGUUGUUUGUCUCUCUGUAUAAAAGAGCUCAGUUGUGCUUGUAAGGUGUGUCUCUUCUGGCAUAAGUUGAGGAGCACCCUCUCAGCUGACUGACAAAUAAAGGACCUGGUACCCGU
This is a long non-coding RNA of Malaclemys terrapin pileata, 1291 nucleotides long. RefSeq lists it as uncharacterized. The transcript is spliced from 2 exons. The record is from RefSeq and is a predicted model, not a curated record. NCBI's taxonomy places the organism in Eukaryota, Metazoa, Chordata, Testudines, Emydidae.